Molecule: ribosomal RNA, 253 nt
Filed under: uncultured bacterium
Lineage: Bacteria
Description: partial 16S ribosomal RNA
Rfam family: Bacterial small subunit ribosomal RNA
Source: RNAcentral
GAUGAACGCUGGCGGCGUGCCUAACACAUGCAAGUCGAACGAGAUGCUUAUUGGAAAGCUUCGGCCGGAAGAUAAGUUAUCUAGUGGCGGACGGGUGAGUAACACGUGGGUAACCUGCCUUGUGGAGGGGGAUAACAGAGAGAAAUCACUGCUAAUACCGCAUAAGCACACAGUACCGCAUGGUACAGGGUGAAAAGAUUUAUCGCCAUAAGAUGGACCCGCGUCUGAUUAGCCAGUUGGCAGGGUAAAAGCC